UGCCACCCGUGGCAUGCGUGCCAUAGGUUUACCAUCAUGGCCAUAGAAGAUUUGUGGAGGUGUGGGGAAGGGAAGGCUGUUUCACCAGUGGUAUCUGUUCUAUUGCAGAUGUGAUGGUGGAAGAGAAGGAUUCUGUAGAUACCCUUUUUUAUCAUACCCUCAUCAAAUGCCUGGAAAUAGAAAAAGAAAUGCACUAUCUUGUUCCAUUUGGUACAGAAAAUAUGAUAAUAGAGAGAUGAGAUGAAGCUUAAUAGGAAGUAUAUCAUGUGGGGAGGAGCUAUAUUUAGUUACAGAUCAAGGUGUUCCAUACUGUAAGAGAAAUGACUGCUAUAUCCUGAGCAACUGAAGCAAUGCAAUUUGAAUACCACACCAAGCAGCCGAGAUGGUACUUAUGGGGGCUUCAGGAAUUUUCACUGCUUGAACUAUACAGAAACUUGGUAUGAGACAGAGGUGAGAUCUUCUUCCUACUUGCUGACAUAUGCCUUCUUGACAGCAAUAACUUGACACGGAGAAGCUAAAAUAAGAGGAAACCACUCAUUUCAUUCAUCAAGUGAUGAAAUGUAUAUCCCAUUCCCAACAAUUUUAGGAACUCAAAGCACACCUGACACAUGGCCAUCCAGCCUCUGUUUAAAGACCUCCAAGGAAGGAGACUCCACUACACUCUGAGGGAGUGUGUUCCACUGUUCUUAGGCUAGAUCAGUGUGUAUUAAAUCCAUCAUCAGAUGAGUUGAACUAUCAUUGUCCUCAGACUGAACAACUGGAGAAGGCUGCAAUAUGUUCUUUGAGAACACAGACAUUAUCUUUUCAAAUGCUGCCACUGAAUGGUGAGUGGGUUGAGGAGACAGCAUUGUCUGAUGCUAUAACACUGCUAUUACAGAGAAGCACAAGCUAGUGAUCAUCUUCCACCAUCUACUAUAGGUCUCAAAGUGGCCUACCACACUCAAUGCUUUAUAGCAUUAAGAGCUACAAGCACUUCUUGAAGGCCUUUUGAAGUAAAAUGGGAUAUGUGCCUUACUUAACAGAGGACAGCCCUCUAUUUGAAGGCCUGUCAGGACAGAUCUCUAUCUGAAGGUGUUCUCUGUUUCAAAGUCUAUCCAAUCCAAAUUUAUUUAGAUAUAAAAAAGGAGAGGUAAAGAGUGAUAUCAAGAAAGAAACAACUUGUCAACUGUUUCUAGAGUUCACAAAUUCUCUCUCUCUCUCUCUCUCUCUCUCUCUCUAUAUAUAUAUAUAUAUAUAUAUAGGCAUUGUUAGAUAUAAAGAACAACAUGGAUCUUGAAACAGCAUGUCAACAGUUAGCUUCUGAACAGUAAACAUGUCAUCUGUGGGGAACAUGGCUCUUUUUCACUGUGAUGGGACACACUUAUAUGAGAAUAAUUAUUUCUACAUUUGGAUCAAUACUUAUAAAUUAAUAUUCAAAGUCCAUACCAUUUGUUAGUUCUCUUUUUUCUUUUUCUUUUAGUGUUGUAUUUCCUCUUUUCCAGUGAUGCAUAAGUGAUCACUGUGCUUCAAACUACUGCCAGCAAAUAUCAGAGAGCCAUUUUCCUUACUUAUCUACCAUGAUCUUUCCUUGCUGGUCCUGACACAGGCACAUAGAGGCAUCAAAGCUCUGGCACUUGCCCUUGCUUCAAACCAAUGGACAAAUUCAGCUCUGACUACUAUACUAAUGGUAUUUUUUUAAAAAAAAAAAUAACAUUAGUGUGGAACUAAAUUGUACAUUAAUUUAGUGCAUUAGUAUAGUAGAUAAGUGUGCAAAGCUUUAUCCCCCCUUUCUUCUACCAUUUGUUACUUACUUGGAAGCAACACAAAAGAAUACAUGACUGAUUAAAUCCCAAAUGUUGUUUUGUGACUAGGACUGGCUUGGAUAAAUUUGUAUUCAGUUGUAACUAGAUUAUUUGAAGUUUUAAAAGAGAAAGCAGUCACUUAGGACCAUGUCAUGCUAAUGUUGCACAUUUUUUUAUCCAUAGAUUAAUUUUCUUCAACAGGAUUAUGCUUGGUGGGUAGGAUUUGUCUUCUAAUACCUUAAAGAAAACAUAUCUUUGGUUGCUGCUGUGUUCUUUUAAGUAUAUCACUGGGUAGAUUUGUUUCAACAAAGCAUUCAUAUUGUAGGAGGCUUUGAAAUACAAUGAAAGAGACAAACAUAUUUGGUGUGUCAGGCUGUAUAUGCUAAAUCAAAAUUAAUGGAAACAGACAAAUGAGCAGGGAAUUAUUAUGAUCAAUUAAAGAGAUGCAUUAAUAACAAGACAAAAAGCUAACACAAAGACUAUUUUUGAAUGUUUGAGAAAGGUGGAAAAUAGAAUAGGGAUGUCUGAGGAAAGUAGUAAUUGCAAAUUUUUAUAGGAACUUAUCAGGGGAAAAAGUUAUUCACCAGAUUUCAAACAUAUCUAAAUGUUUUGAUGCCAGUCGUGCAUAUUUUAGCCUAUUAAAAUAUUAUUUUUAAAAUUAGUUUUUAGGAAACAUUUACAUAAGGAUUAAAGAAUAUGCUAAACUACAAAUUUCAAGAACAUUUUUAAAAAAUAAAUAAAAUUAAUGCAGAACUAAAGGGAAUGUAACCUUUUUAAAAAUUAUCCCUUAAAUGGAAGAAAAGUGAGUUACAGUCAGGCCUUUGUAUCUACAGAUUCUACAUCCACAGAUUCAACCAUCCAUGGCUUGAAAAUAUUUUUUUAAACAAAAUCCAAAAAGCAUUUGCUUUCUAUAUUUUUUAAAGGUAAUUCUAACUUGAAACAUAGGAAACUGAUCAUUUUUCUUAUUACUGCUGCCAAAUUAGAAGUAGCCACAUGUGGGAAGUCAAAUGACCUCUCCAUUGAGAACUGGUGGUCUAAAAUUUGGAGUAUAUGGUUGAUGGAGAAAUUGUCUGCUACAAUGAAGUUUUGUAUUGGCCACAAAUGGACGGACACGUUUCAAGAAAACUGGCUGAUCUUUAUUGACCAUGUUAAUCUGAUCUUUAUUGACCAUGUUAAUCAUCACUCACACUGGAUCCAACCCUGGGUUAUGAACCCCUAACUGCUAUGCAAAAUGUUGGCCAUUUUUAAAACUGCUGUUUGUUUUUUAUAUUUGUUCCUGUAAGCCACUCAAAAAUGUUUCACUUAUGGACUUGCAUACAAGUGUAGCAAAUGAAUAAAUAAAAGACAUUUUGAA
Sceloporus undulatus (fence lizard) is the source of this 3135-nucleotide long non-coding RNA. RefSeq lists it as uncharacterized. The record is from RefSeq and is a predicted model, not a curated record. The transcript has 3 exons. Lineage: Eukaryota; Metazoa; Chordata; Lepidosauria; Squamata; Phrynosomatidae.